UGGGGGAUAUUGCACAAUGGGCGAAAGCCUGAUGCAGCGACGCCGCGUGGGGGAUGAAGGCUUUCGGGUUGUAAACCUCUUUCGCUAUCGAACAAGGCCCGCUUAGGGUGGGUUGAGGGUAGGUGGAGAAGAAGCGCCGGCUAACUACGUGCCAGCAGCCGCGGUAAUACGUAGGGCGCGAGCGUUGUCCGGAAUUAUUGGGCGUAAAGGGCUUGUAGGCGGCUUGUUGCGCCUGCUGUGAAAACGCGGGGCUUAACUUCGCGCGUGCAGGGGGUACGGGCAGGUCUGAGUGUGGUAGGGGUGACUGGAAUUCCAGGUGUAGCGGUGGAAUGCGCAGAUAUCUGGAGGAACACCGAUGGCGAAGGCAGGUCACUGGGCCAUUACUGACGCUGAGGAGCGAAAGCAUGGGUAGCGAACAGG
Molecule: ribosomal RNA, 420 nt
Filed under: bacterium
Lineage: Bacteria
Description: partial 16S ribosomal RNA
Rfam family: Bacterial small subunit ribosomal RNA
Source: RNAcentral